UACGUAGGGUGCGAGCGUUAAUCGGAAUUACUGGGCGUAAAGCGUGCGCAGGCGGUUUUUUAAGCCAGAUGUGAAAUCCCCGGGCUUAACCUGGGAAUGGCAUUUGGGACUGCAUUGCUAGAGUAUGGGAGAGGAAAGCGGAAUUUCUGGUGUAGCAGUGAAAUGCGUAGAUAUCAGAAGGAACAUCAGUGGCGAAGGCGGCUUUCUGGACCAAUACUGACGAUCAGGUGCGAAAGCGUGGGGAGCAAACAGG
This 253-nucleotide ribosomal RNA is filed under the name uncultured bacterium. Its description in RNAcentral is "partial 16S ribosomal RNA". It matches the Rfam family "Bacterial small subunit ribosomal RNA", at positions 524 to 776 of the family's 1533-position model. The record is from RNAcentral.